Molecule: ribosomal RNA, 496 nt
Filed under: uncultured bacterium
Lineage: Bacteria
Description: partial 16S ribosomal RNA
Rfam family: Bacterial small subunit ribosomal RNA
Source: RNAcentral
AUGAACGCUGGCGGCGUGCCUAAUACAUGCAAGUCGAGCGAACAGACGAGGAGCUUGCUCCUCUGACGUUAGCGGCGGACGGGUGAGUAACACGUGGAUAACCUACCUAUAAGACUGGGAUAACUUCGGGAAACCGGAGCUAAUACCGGAUAAUAUAUUGAACCGCAUGGUUCAAUAGUGAAAGACGGUUUUGCUGUCACUUAUAGAUGGAUCCGCGCCGCAUUAGCUAGUUGGUAAGGUAACGGCUUACCAAGGCAACGAUGCGUAGCCGAACUGAGAGGGUGAUCGGCCACACUGGAACUGAGACACGGUCCAGACUCCUACGGGAGGCAGCAGUAGGGAAUCUUCCGCAAUGGGCGAAAGCCUGACGGAGCAACGCCGCGUGAGUGAUGAAGGUCUUCGGAUCGUAAAACUCUGUUAUUAGGGAAGAACAAAUGUGUAAGUAACUAUGCACGUCUUGACGGUACCUAAUCAGAAAGCCACGGCUAACUACGUG